Molecule: ribosomal RNA, 466 nt
Filed under: uncultured bacterium
Lineage: Bacteria
Description: partial 16S ribosomal RNA
Rfam family: Bacterial small subunit ribosomal RNA
Source: RNAcentral
CCUACGGGAGGCAGCAGUGGGGAAUAUUGCGCAAUGGGCGAAAGCCUGACGCAGCGACGCCGCGUGAGGGAUGAAGGUCUUCGGAUCGUAAACCUCUGUCAGGAGGGAAGAAGAGGGUAUAGGCGAAUAGUGUAUGACUUUGACGGUACCGCAAAAGGAAGCACCGGCUAACGCCGGGCCAGCAGCCGCGGGAAUACGGAGGGUGCGAGCGGUAAUCGGAAUCACUUGGCGUAAAGCGCGCGUAGGCGGCUUUUCAAGUCAGGGGUGAAAUCCCACGGCCCAACCGUGGAACUGCCUUUGAAACUGUCGAGCUUGAGUGUCGGAGAGGGUGGCGGAAUUCCAGGUGUAGGCGUGAAAUCCGUAGAUAUCUGGAGGAACACCGGUGGCGAAGGCGGCCCCCUGGACGACAACUGACGCUGAGGUGCGAAAGCGUGGGUAGCAAACAGGAUUAGAUACCCUUGUAGUC